RNAcentral lists this non-coding RNA (28 nucleotides) under Rattus norvegicus (Norway rat). The record is from RNAcentral. Lineage: Eukaryota; Metazoa; Chordata; Mammalia; Rodentia; Muridae.
UAAGGUUUACUUGAAAACUUAACAGGCC